GUUGUGUCGUACUCUUUGCAAUCCCAUGGACUGUAGCCUGCCAGGCUUCUCCAUCCAUGUGAUUUUCCAGGCAAGAAUAUUGGAGUGAGUUGCCAUUUCCUUCUUCAGAGGAUCUUCCCAACCCAAGGAUCAAACCCGGAUCUCCUCUAUUGCGGACACAUCUUUCCCUUCUGAGUCACUAGGGAAGACUUUCUUUGACUAUGACCUGCAGCAGUUAAACCAGGACCAUGCCCUUGCCCAGCUGUUAUCUCCAGUUAUUCACUUCAGCAGAUCAAUGCAGAGAACUGUUGCCCUGUUAUUAGAAAUGGAAUGGUGAUUUUAAUAGAAGUCUUCUUUGACACCCAAACUCAGAUAGCAUAAUAUGAAAUGUUGUGAUCCUCUAAGUGAUUACUGUGGUUCUGAAAGUCAAGUCUGCAAGAUUUUCUGAAUCCUUUCAUUUUCAUCCAACUGUCUGGUUGUCAUAUUGAUAUUGGGUGUAAUUAAAUGUAAUUAAAUGGCAGUGUUCUGUGCUGCUUUCCACAAGGAGUCUGUUGCCUAGAAUAUAUAGGAAUUGUGAGGCAGCGUGAUGUUUCUGCCGAAUGUGGAAGUGUUUUUAGAUCAGACACAGCAGACAGAGG
RNAcentral lists this long non-coding RNA (617 nucleotides) under Capra hircus (goat). Its description in RNAcentral is "lncRNA (ENSCHIG00000006260.1)". Lineage: Eukaryota; Metazoa; Chordata; Mammalia; Artiodactyla; Bovidae. The record is from RNAcentral.